AUUGAACGCUGGCGGCAGGCCUAACACAUGCAAGUCGAGCGGAUGAAGGGAGCUUGCUCCUGGAUUCAGCGGCGGACGGGUGAGUAAUGCCUAGGAAUCUGCCUGGUAGUGGGGGAUAACGUCCGGAAACGGGCGCUAAUACCGCAUACGUCCUGAGGGAGAAAGUGGGGGAUCUUCGGACCUCACGCUAUCAGAUGAGCUUAGGUCGGAUUAGCUAGUUGGUGGGGUAAAGGCCUACCAAGGCGACGAUCCGUAACUGGUCUGAGAGGAUGAUCAGUCACACUGGAACUGAGACACGGUCCAGACUCCUACGGGAGGCAGCAGUGGGGAAUAUUGGACAAUGGGCGAAAGCCUGAUCCAGCCAUGCCGCGUGUGUGAAGAAGGUUUUCGGAUUGUAAAGCACUUUAAGUUGGGAGGAAGGGCAGUAAGUUAAUACCUUGCUGUUUUGACGUUACCAACAGAAUAAGCACCGGCUAACUUCGUG
RNAcentral lists this ribosomal RNA (484 nucleotides) under uncultured bacterium. Its description in RNAcentral is "partial 16S ribosomal RNA". It matches the Rfam family "Bacterial small subunit ribosomal RNA", at positions 30 to 507 of the family's 1533-position model. The record is from RNAcentral.